GUUCACUUCUGCAGAACAUAUACUAACACGGGAAUGAUACAGAGAAGAUUAACAUGGCCCCUGAGCAAGGAUGCCAUGCAAACUUGUGAACUCUUGCAUAUUUUU
This is a small nuclear RNA of Fukomys damarensis (Damara mole-rat), 105 nucleotides long. The record is from Ensembl. NCBI's taxonomy places the organism in Eukaryota, Metazoa, Chordata, Mammalia, Rodentia, Bathyergidae.